Molecule: unclassified non-coding RNA, 3646 nt
Filed under: Hevea brasiliensis (rubber tree)
Lineage: Eukaryota; Viridiplantae; Streptophyta; Magnoliopsida; Malpighiales; Euphorbiaceae
Source: RNAcentral
GCAACAACUUAAUAUUUCCUUGAAGAAGAUUCAAUCAUGUUAAAAUAAAAUCUUUCAUACAAAACAAACUGUUACACAAUUUAAAAAGCAGCCCCUUUACGUAUGGUUUUUGUAUACAGCCUCUCAAAGGCCUGGCAAUUAUGCCGCACAUGAAGGCUAACAGAAAUGCUAGAUUUCAUUUGCUUUGUUUGAAGCAACAUUUAAAUGAUAAUAGGAAGGAAAUAAUUACACUAUAGAAGUUGUCAGUCAUCAUCCAAUGAGGUUGAUGAUUGGGCUCUACAAGGAUGAGUUGCUUGAAUACAGGUCAAUGCUACCCAACUGCAGCCGUGAAUUUGAUUGCACGUCUUUGACUGCUAGAAACCGGAACCUGAAUGCAUUACAGAAGAAACCUCCUGAUUUAAUUUUGAAUGAUCUACGCUGAAAACGAUUUUCAAAAGCCUGAGAAAUCUGUUUAUCCAAAAUUCGCCAACUGGAUCCCCCAUCAUCACUUCCCUCAAGAACCCAAUCCAUUGGAUCCCUCUCCGGUGCAUCAUUAGCUGACAUUAAAUCAUAUGCCACUAGUUCAUGCAUUUGGUUGUCUGGUAACUUAUACACGAUCCAACAACCUUUUGCACCAUUUGGUUCUUCCCAUUUAGUUGCACGUAGUCCAUCAAAUGCUGAUGUGGAAAUUCCAAAAGGAAGUUCCUCGCCACUUGCAAGAACUGAACCAGAAUGGAUUCUGUUCAAUCUCAUCAAUGGCAACGAAAGGGAAGCUUUGCUUAGGUUACUACAGUUGUUAAGGUUGACAAUCACAUCAUCCAAAGCAUCCAGCACAACAGGCAGUGCUAAAGAGGUUUUCACAGGGUCACCAGCCAAACAGAUGUUCACUUUUUCAUCAGUGUCUAUCUCACUCUUUAGUGAAAGGGCAUUAAGUAACUGAUCAAAAUAAGGCAGCAAAUGAAGCACAAAAGGAUUUACGGAAAUCGUCCUUUUUUCGUAGGAGGAAUUCUUGAGCUCCACCAAAAUUUCUUUAAAGAUCUUCAGUAUUUCAACAGUUCUAGAAUUAGAAAGAGAAUUCUCAAUGAACUGAGAAAGAACAGGGAAAAAUGCAUUGUAAAUGCUUGUCACGUGCACAUCUACGCACAGACGAACAGGACAAGAAGAGCAACUUAAAGAGGAAUCUUCAUUAGAACCAAUUUCAGAUCUGGAAAUGCGCCAUUCCUUAUCCCCGCUUUGUCUUCCAGGUAAAGAGAUUGAAGCAUCGUCUUUGGAAUGUAAACCUUUCUCAAGUUCUUCUAAUUCAUUCUUGUCACGGUCUUCAAGCAUGGAACAAAUCAGAGAUGUAAAACUUUUUCGGCAGUCUCUUGUCAUAUUAGUGAGAGUAGCAGAUAAAUCUGUCUCUCUGAUAAUGUUUCGUCGAGACAAAACCUCAAGCCACUUCCUUGUAUAACGCUUAGUGACAUCAUAAACUCCAUCUUUUGCAAUUGCAAUUACAUAAUUCAAUUUCUUAUCCCACCCCUUUUCAUAUAACAAUGGUCUGUCAUAUACUCGGUCACAAGGGUCAAGAUGCAUCCAUCUUCCCAAAACUUGAGAGAAGCACUCCGUCCAAAGAUGAUCAGUAAAAUCCAGGAUCAAACGAGAUUCAUAGCCAAAAGCUCGACAGUAAAGUGUAAAGCAAUUGGCCCACUCCCCACAACGGCCCCUUCUAGUUUCUACGAGCUUUAAUGGAUCAUUGUAACGUGGGAAUCGAGUGAUUCUGGAACAAGAAUUGCAGUGAUAAAGUUCAACUCGACUUGCUCCAUAUUGACUUUCAGAAGGAAUAGUAACACCCAUUCCUUGAUUAAUGGUAUCAUUGCCACAACUAUCACAAGGUGGUGCGUUAACCCACCUACAUUAUCCAAAAAUUAUAAUCACGAAAAAAAACAAGAAAUCGUUUGUCAGCAACAUAUGCGCAAACUCAUUAAAGCUAUUUAACGUAAACAUGUGCUAAAUUUUUUUAUUGAACUAAACAUCUCACAUCUUUCAGUAGAGUACGAAAGGUUCUGAAAAUCUUGGGGACCGGCCUUUAUGGCUUUUGGGUUUGUAAAGGCAUGGACAAGUAUGCAUGCAUUUGAAUCAUAGGGACAUGGAACAAAAAAUUAAAGAAAUCAAAGCUUCAUAAGGGGUCAUGCCACUAGUACAUAUUUUUUAGGCCAAUCUGCUAUUCACUAAUCAAUAUUUCGUUAAAUGUAAGAGGAACUCCAAGUAAAGAAAAAGCAUGAGUAAUGAAAGACACCUGAAAGAUUCUUUGGACCAGAAAAGCAGCUGCAGCAGGAAAGCAUGGUCUUUUUCAAUUUUUGAUGGUUUAAAGUUCCCCUCCUAACACAUAUUUAUCAGAAUCACCAAGGCAUAUUAACAGAAGAAAUUCUCAAAUCAUAAAGAUUUGUAAAGCAUGAAACUAGCUUGAUCUCAGGAAUGCAAGUAGCCUUUUCUGUUCAAACAAUUUGACAAAAUUGCAGAUCAUAUAAGCAUUGAGAAGGAUAUUCGGUUGAAUUUUAAUCUGUUUGAGAGCUGAAACAUUAAUUGGCACCACAGGAUAAUCUCAGUGAUUAGUAUGCAUGCAGAUUCUGCAAGACAUAGAGUCUAGCAAAUGGUAGUAAAAGUGUUUCAUGUGUCAUUAUGAGAAAGGGGUAAAGAACAAGUACGUAAAAGAGCUAUUUCAUUGCGAAAUAUUAAGGUGCGUAUGUAGUUAGAGUCUAGAAAAUGGCAGCACAAGUACGACAUGCAUGCUACGACCAAAUCAAGUGCUCAUUUUUAUAUUAGGAAAAAAGAUCUUACCUUGGCCAAAGAAACCAAUGCCUUCUCCUCAAGCUCUUCUACAGGAACUGUUUUUCGCGCUGCCUCCUGGCGCGCUGGGUCUUCAUACUACAGUAACAACAUGUCAAUUACUCGAUAACUAAUCAACCUCCCAAAAAAAAAUCCUGUCAAGUAAAAUCUAUUUAUUGUCUUCUUCAAGCCAAUAUAAGAAUAAGUUUUCUCCAACAAUUUCCAAGUACAAACAAAUUGGGAGUGCAAGCAUCACAUUAUCACACACUAGUACACUAUAAAAAAGAGGGGGAAAACAAAGUUACAGUUACCAUUAGGACUUUACUGAUGUAAGGCUGUAUUAUCUGCUCAAAUUCUUCGCUCUGUCCGCUCACAGCAAACUGCUGCAGCAUUAGCGCCUCUUCCUCUGCCUGCAGCAUUCGUGCCAAUUCCUCAUCCGAUACCAACGAAUUGGCAUUGUCCUGUGCUACAGAGCCAUUACUAGUGGUGGAUUCCUCUUCAUCGAUUGAUACCAAUCGGCUCUCGUCCUUUUCAUCGAUUGAUACCAAUUUGAGCUGGUUAGAAAUGGAGAAGAGAUCAGAGUCGUCUGAUACAACACGAUCAUCAUCUCCUCCAAUGAUCUUCUGGUCAUCGGGAGGAAUUGAAGUGAGGGAGAAAAGCUGGAAUUUGAAAACUUCGAAGCCGUCGUCGGUGUCGUAGUCGACGUCGAAGGUGGAGUCGCUGUAGCGAACGACGAAUUUGCGAGCUACCAUCUUUAUCCUUUGCUUCUCCCUCUCUCCCUCUUUUGUCUUCUCUGCCACGGAAUGGCCGUCUUGGUAUUUAAUGACAAACUGAUAUUCUUUUCUUUUCUUCUUCUUCUUCU